AGUGAACGCUGGCGGUAGGCCUAACACAUGCAAGUCGAACGGCAGCACAGUAAGAGCUUGCUCUUACGGGUGGCGAGUGGCGGACGGGUGAGGAAUACAUCGGAAUCUACUUUUUCGUGGGGGAUAACGUAGGGAAACUUACGCUAAUACCGCAUACGACCUACGGGUGAAAGCAGUGGAUCUUCGGACCUUGCGCGAUUGAAUGAGCCGAUGUCGGAUUAGCUAGUUGGCGGGGUAAAGGCCCACCAAGGCGAAGAUCCGUAGCUGGUCUGAGAGGAUGAUCAGCCACACUGGAACUGAGACACGCUCCAGACUCCUACGGGAGGCAGCAGUGGGGAAUAUUGGACAAUGAGCGCAACCCUGAUCCAGCCAUACCGCGUGGGUGAAGACGGCCUUCGUGUUGUAAAGCCCUUUUGUUGGGAAAGAAAAGCAGCAGGUUAAUACCCCGCUGUUCUGACGGUACCCAAAGAAUAAGCACCGGCUAACUUCGU
RNAcentral lists this ribosomal RNA (491 nucleotides) under uncultured bacterium. Its description in RNAcentral is "partial 16S ribosomal RNA". It matches the Rfam family "Bacterial small subunit ribosomal RNA", at positions 29 to 506 of the family's 1533-position model. The record is from RNAcentral.